Molecule: long non-coding RNA, 441 nt
Filed under: Lactuca sativa (garden lettuce)
Lineage: Eukaryota; Viridiplantae; Streptophyta; Magnoliopsida; Asterales; Asteraceae
Description: long non-coding RNA (LSAT_LNC003344)
Source: RNAcentral
AUCUCAAACCCAGUUCCUUUACCUUCUCUUUCUCCAAUGGCAAACCAACCCAAAAGCUCCCUGAUCACCACCGAUUCCAGUUGAAGCAAAUCCCUGACCAUAAACAGGCCUGUAGGCGCAGCUUACCAGAGAAAAAGAAGCAGCGACUACUUCCAUUUUUCCCUCCUGCCUUCAUUUGUUCGACUAUCAAACAACUUCCACACAUCUUUUCCUUGCUCCUCCAUCGAUCUCAGGUAAAUUCCUUACCUUCUCUGAUCAAAAUUCGUCCAGCAACCACCGUGAACAUUAGGCACCUGCCAUGGUCGCCGGUGGCCUGAACAGUUCCAACCGGACGAUCCCGGUGGCGGGUUUGGUCCUAGUCAAGUGUAUAUAGUUCCUGAUUCCAUUAUUUUUCUGCCAUGUGAUGUCUAGGUCGACUCCAAGAUUCCCGUUCCAAAUCCC